This 106-nucleotide transfer RNA is filed under the name Pterulicium gracile. Its description in RNAcentral is "Pterula gracilis tRNA". It matches the Rfam family "tRNA". Rfam says of the family: Transfer RNA (tRNA) molecules are approximately 80 nucleotides in length. Their secondary structure includes four short double-helical elements and three loops (D, anti-codon, and T loops). The record is from Rfam by way of RNAcentral. Lineage: Eukaryota; Fungi; Basidiomycota; Agaricomycetes; Agaricales; Pterulaceae.
GGCGAGAUGGCCGAGCGGUCUAAGGCGCCAGACUAAGGACCAGCUCAUUCGAUGAGCAUCUACAAUCUGGUCUUUCGGGGCGUGGGUUCGAAUCCCACUCUCGUCA